AGACGUCUACAUUAGAUACCCGCGUAGUCCCAGCCGUAAACUAUGCGCGUUAGGUGUAUCGGUGACCACGAGUCACCGAGGUGCCGAAGGGAAACCGUGAAACGUGCCGCCUGGGAAGUACGGUCGCAAGGCUAGAAACUUAAAGGAAUUGGCGGGGAGCACCACAACGGGUGGAGCCUGCGGUUUAAUUGGACUCAACGCCGGGAAGCUCACCGGAUAAGACAGCGGAAUGAUUGCCGGGCUGAAGACUCUGCAUGACUAGCUG
This 265-nucleotide ribosomal RNA is filed under the name uncultured archaeon. Its description in RNAcentral is "partial 16S ribosomal RNA". It matches the Rfam family "Archaeal small subunit ribosomal RNA", at positions 717 to 982 of the family's 1478-position model. The record is from RNAcentral.